UUGGCGAGUUACCGCAGAAAUGC
This 23-nucleotide non-coding RNA is filed under the name Rattus norvegicus (Norway rat). The record is from RNAcentral. Lineage: Eukaryota; Metazoa; Chordata; Mammalia; Rodentia; Muridae.